This 253-nucleotide ribosomal RNA is filed under the name uncultured prokaryote. Its description in RNAcentral is "partial 16S ribosomal RNA". It matches the Rfam family "Bacterial small subunit ribosomal RNA", at positions 525 to 777 of the family's 1533-position model. The record is from RNAcentral.
ACGUAGGGUGCGAGCGUUAAUCGGAAUUACUGGGCGUAAAGCGUGCGCAGGCGGUUUUGUAAGACAGGUGUGAAAUCCCCGGGCUUAACCUGGGAACUGCGCUUGUGACUGCAAGACUCGAGUACGGCAGAGGGGGGUGGAAUUCCACGUGUAGCAGUGAAAUGCGUAGAGAUGUGGAGGAACACCGGUGGCGAAGGCGGCGACCUGGGCAGAUACUGACGCUGAGGUGCGAAAGCGUGGGGAGCAAACAGGA